CGGUAGCAAUACGUCAGCGGCAGGCGGGUGAGUAACACGUGGGAACGUACCUUUUGGUUCGGAACAACUGAGGGAAACUUCAGCUAAUACCGGAUAAGCCCUAACGGGGAAAGAUUUAUCGCCGAAAGAUCGGCCCGCGUCUGAUUAGCUAGUUGGUGAGGUAAUGGCUCACCAAGGCGACGAUCAGUAGCUGGUCUGAGAGGAUGAUCAGCCACACUGGGACUGAGACACGGCCCAGACUCCUACGGGAGGCAGCAGUC
Molecule: ribosomal RNA, 260 nt
Filed under: uncultured Afipia sp.
Lineage: Bacteria; Pseudomonadati; Pseudomonadota; Alphaproteobacteria; Hyphomicrobiales; Nitrobacteraceae
Description: partial 16S ribosomal RNA
Rfam family: Bacterial small subunit ribosomal RNA
Source: RNAcentral